This 491-nucleotide ribosomal RNA is filed under the name uncultured bacterium. Its description in RNAcentral is "partial 16S ribosomal RNA". It matches the Rfam family "Bacterial small subunit ribosomal RNA", at positions 28 to 507 of the family's 1533-position model. The record is from RNAcentral.
GAUGAACGCUGGCUACAGGCUUAACACAUGCAAGUCGAGGGGAAACGACGGGGAAGCUUGCUUCCCCGGGCGUCGACCGGCGCACGGGUGAGUAACGCGUAUCCAACCUGCCUCUGACUGAGGGAUAACCCGUCGAAAGUCGGCCUAAUACCUCAUGGCAUCGUCUGCGGGCAUCCAACGACGAUUAAAGAUUUCAUCGGUCAGAGAUGGGGAUGCGUCUGAUUAGCUUGUUGGCGGGGUAACGGCCCACCAAGGCGACGAUCAGUAGGGGUUCUGAGAGGAAGGUCCCCCACAUUGGAACUGAGACACGGUCCAAACUCCUACGGGAGGCAGCAGUGAGGAAUAUUGGUCAAUAGGCGAGAGCCUGAACCAGCCAAGUAGCGUGCAGGAUGACGGCCCUAUGGGUUGUAAACUGCUUUUAUGCGGGGAUAAAGUGAGGGACGUGUCCUUCAUUGCAGGUACCGCAUGAAUAAGGACCGGCUAAUUCCGUG